UACGUAGGGUGCGAGCGUUGUCCGGAAUUAUUGGGCGUAAAGAGCUUGUAGGCGGUUUGUCGCGUCUGCCGUGAAAAUUCGAGGCUCAACCUCGAACUUGCGGUGGGUACGGACAGACUAGAGUGUGGUAGGGGAGACUGGAAUUCCUGGUGUAGCGGUGAAAUGCGCAGAUAUCAGGAGGAACACCGAUGGCGAAGGCAGGUCUCUGGGCCACUACUGACGCUGAGAAGCGAAAGCAUGGGGAGCGAACAGG
RNAcentral lists this ribosomal RNA (253 nucleotides) under uncultured bacterium. Its description in RNAcentral is "partial 16S ribosomal RNA". It matches the Rfam family "Bacterial small subunit ribosomal RNA", at positions 524 to 776 of the family's 1533-position model. The record is from RNAcentral.